GCCUUCGUGGUGUAAUGGUAGCACACUCGGCGCACAUUCGAGAGAUCCAAGUUCGAGUCCUGGUGAGGACA
This 71-nucleotide transfer RNA is filed under the name Stegodyphus mimosarum. It matches the Rfam family "tRNA". Rfam says of the family: Transfer RNA (tRNA) molecules are approximately 80 nucleotides in length. Their secondary structure includes four short double-helical elements and three loops (D, anti-codon, and T loops). The record is from Rfam by way of RNAcentral. Lineage: Eukaryota; Metazoa; Arthropoda; Arachnida; Araneae; Eresidae.